Non-coding RNA from Microcebus murinus (gray mouse lemur), 1347 nucleotides. NCBI's taxonomy places the organism in Eukaryota, Metazoa, Chordata, Mammalia, Primates, Cheirogaleidae. The record is from RefSeq and is a predicted model, not a curated record.
UUUUUUUAAAGAAGAAUAUGUUUUCUUUUCCUUCCUUUAAUUUUACUGUAACAGUUUGUCUAUCCCUACUGGGUAGGUGGGGAGAAAUGGGUGUGGGGUUGAUAAGGUCUCGAGGAGACUAAGGCGUCCUGUCGGGUCUCGUGGUGUUCCAAGACUUCCUUGGAGAGGAAGGAGCCUUAGCUACAGGGAUGCUGAGUACCCUGUGUCAUGUGCUUGUUGCUGUUUAGAUCACUUGCUGUGAUUUAAGCAGGGUCCCAAGGCAACGCCUGGGACAACAGGCCUGACACAUGUCAUCUCAAUGAUUCUGAAAUUAAUACCUGAUAGAAGAGAGAGGACUCCCAACUUCUUGUUUCUAGUCCAGCGCUAUUUCUGUGUUCUUGAGGACGCUUGAGGCUGCCUGUGACACUUCUGAGGACAUACCAUCUGGCUGUGUCGCGGCUGUGUGGAUUUUGAAACACAAAAAGAGAAAGAGGGAGCUUUCUUGGCCCGCGUAAGCGUUAAAAAAGUGAUGUUUUUCAUUCCCCUUGUCAUCAGGGAAGGCAGUGACACUGCCAAGGGACGAGCGCUCGGGGCCUCGGACGAAGUGGGUGUCUGUGUUACGGGUCUUGGUGUGGGGCUGCCCUCCGGCACCCAGCUGCCAGCUGCUCUCUUCCAGUUGUCACCUGAUGCCUCUGGCUGCACAGCUUCUGAUCCCCGUGUUCUUGUCUGUGACUGACUGGCCAGCGCUCUCUUGCUGGUCUACCCAUAACUUGAAAGAUAAAUCCAGUUGUUAAGCACUUUUACAUGAAUAUGUGAUCAAUUAAAGCCAGUGACAAACUGGCCCAGCCUGACGGUUUAGACCUUAUCUCAUAACUAAGUCUACAAGGCUGGGAGAAGCUCUGACACCCGAGACAGCGUGAAGGGCUGGAGAGCAGCUUCAGAGGAAAUAACCCAGAAACUGCGAAGAAAGAAGCCCUGGAGAAUAGGCUGAUGCCUCAAAGGACCACAGGAUGCUUCCAAGGCUGGGGAGGAAACUGCCCAGUCUGGGCACCCCGGGAAGCCUGCACGGACUGCUGCCUUCUGGCAAGCAAGGUGUCUGCUGCUCUAAGCAAGAUUACAGAGAUGGUGGUGAUGACAGCUGAGAUCCAAAUGGGGAGGUCUCUCCUCCGCCCACCCCCGGGAGAGGUCUGGGCAACUCUAGUCACCAGGCAAAUUUGAAAGCUUGAACUCCAUCGUGAUGCAUUUAAACCUCAACGUGUCCGUGCUGAGGUCAUGUGAAGAAGCUUGAUUUAUGAGGUCCUGGAGUUGGUGUUUUCCACACUGUCACCUGGAAUGCUGAAACAGCAAGUGUCCUCGUGGCAGCCGUUG